This 127-nucleotide small RNA is filed under the name Marmota monax (woodchuck). Lineage: Eukaryota; Metazoa; Chordata; Mammalia; Rodentia; Sciuridae. The record is from RNAcentral.
GCCGGACAUGGUGGUGCCUGCCUGUCAUCCCAGCAGCUUGGGAGGCUGAGGCAGGAGGAUUGUGAGUUCAAAGCCAGCCUCAGCAACUUAGUGAGGUCCUCAGCAACUCAGAGAGACCCUGUCUCUA